Molecule: long non-coding RNA, 468 nt
Filed under: Homo sapiens (human)
Lineage: Eukaryota; Metazoa; Chordata; Mammalia; Primates; Hominidae
Description: long non-coding RNA NONHSAT200311.1
Source: RNAcentral
CUUCUGUCUAGUGUCCUAGGCUUCACACCUAGCCGAUGCUUGUUGUCCUGUUUUGAUCCUCUUCAAAAGGUGGUUUAUAAUCAACUGUAAGACUUUGACAGUUGCUCUCAACAUUCUUCUAAAGGAAGGAAGGAAAAGAAAGAAAGGAAGAAAGGAAGAAAGAAAGAAAGAAGAAAGAAAGAAAGAAAGAAAGGAAGGAAGAAAGAAAGAAAGAAAGAGGCAAUGUCAUUCCUGUUCUCCCCAGAAUUGGUGAAAUCAGCAACAGAACUAUUCAUUUCAUGGAGCCUGGAAAAUCCAGUUUGUAUGACCAGGGAGAAGAAUGGAUUAGAGCAGCCACUAGUCAGUCUCUUCCAAGCAAGAAGGACCACCCCUGAGCUGUUUUCCAGCUGGACAUGCCUGGACCUGUAUUCCACUCCUCUCUAAAAUGCACCUUAUUUUUCUUCAUUAAAUUCUGUUACUUAACCCUUG